CUUUAUACUGUGAACUGCGAAUGGCUCAUUAAAUCAGUUAUCGUUUAUUUGAUAGUACCUUACUACAUGGAUACCUGUGGUAAUUCUAGAGCUAAUACAUGCUAAAAACCCCGACUUCAGGAAGGGGUGUAUUUAUUAGAUAAAAAACCAACGCCCUUCGGGGCUCCUUGGUGAAUCAUAAUAACUUAACGAAUCGCAUGGCCUUGCGCCGGCGAUGGUUCAUUCAAAUUUCUGCCCUAUCAACUUUCGAUGGUAGGAUAGUGGCCUACCAUGGUGGCAACGGGUAACGGGGAAUUAGGGUUCGAUUCCGGAGAGGGAGCCUGAGAAACGGCUACCACAUCCAAGGAAGGCAGCAGGCGCGCAAAUUACCCAAUCCCGAUACGGGGAGGUAGUGACAAUAAAUACUGAUACGGGGCUCUUUUGGGUCUCGUAAUUGGAAUGAGAACAAUUUAAAUCCCUUAACGAGGAACAAUUGGAGGGCAAGUCUGGUGCCAGCAGCCGCGGUAAUUCCAGCUCCAAUAGCGUAUAUUAAAGUUGUUGCAGUUAAAAAGCUCGUAGUUGAACCUUGGGUCUGGCUGGCCGGUCCGCCUCACCGCGAGUACUGGUCCGGCUGGACCUUUCCUUCUGGGGAACCUCAUGGCCUUCACUGGCUGUGGGGGGAACCAGGACUUUUACUGUGAAAAAAUUAGAGUGUUCAAAGCAGGCCUUUGCUCGAAUACAUUAGCAUGGAAUAAUAGAAUAGGACGUGCGGUUCUAUUUUGUUGGUUUCUAGGACCGCCGUAAUGAUUAAUAGGGAUAGUCGGGGGCGUCAGUAUUCAGCUGUCAGAGGUGAAAUUCUUGGAUUUGCUGAAGACUAACUACUGCGAAAGCAUUCGCCAAGGAUGUUUUCAUUAAUCAGGGAACGAAAGUUAGGGGAUCGAAGACGAUCAGAUACCGUCGUAGUCUUAACCAUAAACUAUGCCGACUACGGAUC
This 973-nucleotide ribosomal RNA is filed under the name Penicillium limosum. RNAcentral's name for it is "SSU rRNA". It matches the Rfam family "Eukaryotic small subunit ribosomal RNA", at positions 72 to 1054 of the family's 1831-position model. The record is from RNAcentral. Lineage: Eukaryota; Fungi; Ascomycota; Eurotiomycetes; Eurotiales; Aspergillaceae.